This 792-nucleotide ribosomal RNA is filed under the name uncultured Lactobacillus sp. RNAcentral's name for it is "bacterial SSU rRNA". It matches the Rfam family "Bacterial small subunit ribosomal RNA", at positions 28 to 776 of the family's 1533-position model. Lineage: Bacteria; Bacillati; Bacillota; Bacilli; Lactobacillales; Lactobacillaceae. The record is from RNAcentral.
GAUGAACGCCGGCGGUGUGCCUAAUACAUGCAAGUCGAGCGCACUGGCCCAACUGAUAUGACGUGCUUGCACUGAAUUGACGUUGGAUUCCCAGUGAGCGGCGGACGGGUGAGUAACACGUGGGCAACCUGCCCUGAAGCGGGGGAUAACAUCUGGAAACAGAUGCUAAUACCGCAUAACAACGAAAACCACAUGGUUUUCGUUUCAAAGAUGGUUUCGGCUAUCACUUCAGGAUGGGCCCGCGGUGCAUUAGCUAGUUGGUAAGGUAACGGCUUACCAAGGCGAUGAUGCAUAGCCGAGUUGAGAGACUGAUCGGCCACAAUGGAACUGAGACACGGUCCAUACUCCUACGGGAGGCAGCAGUAGGGAAUCUUCCACAAUGGGCGCAAGCCUGAUGGAGCAACACCGCGUGAGUGAAGAAGGUUUUCGGAUCGUAAAGCUCUGUUGUUGGUGAAGAAGGAUAGAGGUAGUAACUGGCCUUUAUUUGACGGUAAUCAACCAGAAAGUCACGGCUAACUACGUGCCAGCAGCCGCGGUAAUACGUAGGUGGCAAGCGUUGUCCGGAUUUAUUGGGCGUAAAGCGAGCGCAGGCGGAAAGAUAAGUCUGAUGUGAAAGCCCUCGGCUUAACCGAGGAACUGCAUCGGAAACUGUUUUUCUUGAGUGCAGAAGAGGAGAGUGGAACUCCAUGUGUAGCGGUGGAAUGCGUAGAUAUAUGGAAGAACACCAGUGGCGAAGGCGGCUCUCUGGUCUGCAACUGACGCUGAGGCUCGAAAGCAUGGGUAGCGAACAGG